UGGGGAAUCUUCCGCAAUGGACGAAAGUCUGACGGAGCAACGCCGCGUGAGUGAAGACGGCCUUCGGGUUGUAAAGCUCUGUGAUCCGGGACGAAAGAGCCUGAGGUGAAUAGCCUAAGGAAGUGACGGUACCGGAAAAGCAAGCCACGGCUAACUACGUGCCAGCAGCCGCGGUAAUACGUAGGUGGCAAGCGUUGUCCGGAAUUAUUGGGCGUAAAGCGCGCGCAGGCGGCUUCCUAAGUCCAUCUUAAAAGUGCGGGGCUUAACCCCGUGAUGGGAUGGAAACUGGGAAGCUGGAGUAUCGGAGAGUAAAGUGGAAUUCCUAGUGUAGCGGUGAAAUGCGUAGAGAUUAGGAAGAACACCGGUGGCGAAGGCGACUUUCUGGACGAAAACAGACGCUGAGGCGCGAAAGCGUGGGGAGCAAACAGG
Molecule: ribosomal RNA, 429 nt
Filed under: Fusobacteriota bacterium
Lineage: Bacteria; Fusobacteriati; Fusobacteriota
Description: Fusobacteria bacterium partial 16S ribosomal RNA
Rfam family: Bacterial small subunit ribosomal RNA
Source: RNAcentral